Molecule: long non-coding RNA, 1739 nt
Filed under: Panax ginseng (ginseng)
Lineage: Eukaryota; Viridiplantae; Streptophyta; Magnoliopsida; Apiales; Araliaceae
Description: long non-coding RNA (PGIN_LNC006992)
Source: RNAcentral
AGCUAUCCGGUUAUAACCGAAAACCGAAUUAUUGGUGAUUUCACUAUCCGAAAUAACAAUCGAAAUUUAAAAAAAAACGAAUUACCGAAUACCGAAUUACCGAAUUGUAAUUUUGGGUAUUCGGGUAAUAACCGAACCAGCUACCUGUUAACUGUCUAGCAAAUUAACACUGUCCUGUCCAGCAGCAAAGUUACUUAACACUUAAAAGGCUAACAGUUACAGCAACAUCCAACAUAAACUCAAAGUUUAAAAAUACAGCAACAACAAGCCCAACACUUUUACAGUAUCAUGUCAUUACUCAUUACAGUAACCCAAAGUUCUUUAAAUUAUAUAACAGUUGCUAAAUUAUAAUGGCAAAGUUAUAAUUCUACAAGCAGCAUUAAUUAGCAUCAGUGAUUCAACAUCAACAAGCUCCAGUCUCCCAAUAGCACUAUUGGCAUCAUAUGAUCAGAUUUCAACACCAUAAGAUCACCUUUAACUGCAGUCUGCAAGAACACAAAUAACUUGUCAUUAAUGUUCACAUAUUUUUUAUAUGGACUACAACAAUAACAAUAAUAAAAAAACAGUUGUAUAAAUACCUAACAUAUUUUUGCACCUUACUAUCUAGAUGGAAAAACUGAAAGUGAUAGCGAAAACAAUUGUUAAAUACCAAACUUAUUUUUGCAAAAACUGAAAGUGAUAGCGAAUAAUACAUACCAUCAUGAUGCUUCAAAGCUAUGAAGCCAAGGCACAUGUGAUUUGAUGGAGGAUGUCAACUAAGUAUUCAUUCUAUUGCAAGUGCCAUACAAAUAUUCACACAACAAAAACAAAAAUAAAGCAGAAUUUUGUUAAGUGAAAAAGUGAAAAAACACAGACCUGGAUAAGAAGAAUUCCAAUUACUACUUAAAUAGCAAAACCAAAGUGAAUACAUAAUAACUGGAAUCCUCUCAAAACUCCAAAACCUCCUUAUGCAAUUGUGAAAAGACUAUAUUGUACAGAUACAACAUAAAGCACAAGCCUGUACUGUACAGAGAUGGCCAUGACCAGACCUCAAAAAUCAGGGAGGACUUAAAAAGAAUUCCUUAAAACACCCAUAGAAUUUGAGAACCUUAAUUCCUCUGAUUCAGGGAAAGCAACAUAAUCAGUUAAUCACCCCAUCUUUCAUCUCAAUAAGAAAAAUUCACAAUACCCAAUUAAGAAAAAAAUUUCCAAAUUUAUGAACGAAUCAAACGAUUACCCACCUUAGAAAUCAUAACCCUAACUCAAAAUGAUUGAAUAACCCGUAAAAGGGUUCUUGAAUCAAUAACAAGACAUCGUUUGCAUGAUCGAAUAACCCGUAAAAAUGAUCGAAUAACCCGUAAAAGGGUUCAAAUCAAAAUCAGAUGCAAGUAUGUAACAACUAACAAAACAAACAUACCAAGUCACUGAGUUAGUCGUAAGAGAGUAGAAGGGGGAAAGGCCGUCGGCCGAAGCGUGUUUACCAGACAGUGAGAGUCGAGUGACGGAGGCCGGAGAUUGCGAGUUUGAGACAGAGAGAGCCGGAGAGAAUGUGAGAUCGAGACUUCGAGUAGUCGAGUCGACAGUCGAGACUUCAGAGUUCAGACUAGACAAGACAAGAGUGAAGAGGCUGAGAUCUAGGACUAGGAGCGGGACUGAGAUCUGGGACUGAGAUCUUCGAGUAGGCUGAGAACUGAGUUUGAUAGUGUAAUGUCUGAUAGUUAGUCGGUCAUAGAUAUUAGAUAAUACAUAGAUAGUUAGAC